CAAAAUCUUUCAAAGUUAUCAAUGUUUGUACAUAAUUUAUCAAGUCUGUAAGGCAUAAAUUACCAUGAUAUACGCAUAAGUUAGCGAGGUUAUUCCCCGCAAAAAAAAGUUAGCAAGUUAUGUUUUUCAGCAACUCUUUCCUCAACUCAAAGUUACCACGGAAUUUGUGUGUAAGUUAUCAGGUGUGCUUACGUAUAUUAUCACACUAUUUAUCCAAAAAAAUGACGGUGGAUAUGUUUUCAACAACUCUUUUUUCUGGGGUCAAAAUUGUUACCACGGUAAUUGUCAACAAUUUUUUGGGGGGCCCAGAAUGAUCCUCAUUACCUACUGUUCUUUUUACCACCCACAAACUGCUCAACACGAGCAUGGAAAAAAAACAGAAAUACAAAAAAUUGGGCAAAACUAGGGAUCGAUCCCUCGUGGCCUGGGUUAUGAUUCAUAGCACUAGCCACUUGGUUGUAGUGAGUUUCAUGUUGUAGUAUCAGCGCGAGGUUUUCUAUCAGGCAUGUAGGUACCAGGCUUCACUUGGUCUGCAGCCAUGGCUGCUGCUCGCGACGGAGCUUCACCGUCAAUUACCAGGCUUCCCCUUGGCAUCUUGGGGGUGCGGAUGAGCACAUGCAUGGUGCAGCGGGGCGCGGCCUUGCGUGCCUGUUGUGUGUGCAUCGGCCGAGCUCCCAUGCUCAAGCUCAAGCUCAUGCAUGGCGGGCCUGCGUUCAGGUGCAUACGACCAGGGUGAGCGGGAGGAGGAACGGCGAUUCUCACCGCACUCGAAUGCGAGAUCGACUUGGACAGAGGCAAACGCGGAAGCCGGUGAGGAGACACUGAUUGCCGGAAACGGCUCCGCCGAGGAGAAAACCAUGGUCAGUCCCAAGCUCCUGUGGACAGGAUGUUGCGCAGGAGGACAACGGACGUCGCAGCAGAGCUCCCCGUCGACGAGGCGGAGGAAGAAAAGGACCACAGCGGCAAAGCAAAAUUAGCCCCGCGGGUCAACGCCCAGGCCACUCACGCCCGUAGUCGAGCAACUGCCCCCGCGCAUAUCGCCAGCAGCCGCACAAUCCCGAUUGAAGCACCCCGAGGUCGUGUGGUAGUUUCGCAAUCUGCACACGGUUGCCAUAUACAUAUUUCGUUUACUUAAUGAGAGACAAACUUGGAAACUUUGAAAGUUUAAAGGAAUUUCAUAAUGAAGUAGAAAGUUCUUGUAACAAGAAUAUUAAGUUUCUACGAUAGCAUUGCAGAAAGGAAUGUUUGAGUUACAAGUUUCGCGAAUGUGAUGAGUCACGAAAUAGUUUCAUAAUUUACACCUCUAGAACGCGAGGAAAGGGGUGUCCAAGUCUCCAAGAGACGUAACUGAACCAUGUAUGCCAUGGUAAGAUCAAAGAUGUCAUUAACUAAUUAGCCAUUAUAUAUUCGGGUUAUGCUUUAGAGACUGCGGCUUUUUAACUGAAAAGAGUGGCAUCUAAUGUUUUGAAAUGAAACCAUAUGAUAUGGUAUGGGACGCUGAACCAAUAUGUCCUUCCUUAAAACUUGGCAAUGAGAUGCAUAUGUAAAGUGCUUACAACCACAUAAGCUCAAAUCACAAAUCAGAUAAGUGCUACUUUGUUGGUUAUCCAAAAUGUCGGAUAUUUCUUCUAUCACUGCACCGAAGGCAAAAUGGUUGUUGCUAAGAACAGUGUGUUUUGAAGAAGACUUUCUUGCGGAAGGGGAGUAAGAGGACAGUGAAGCUCGACGAGAAUAAAAAAUCUUCAUGAUGAGGUAAAAGAAAGGAAACACUGAAAACAGUUCCAAAGUUUCGUCACUGCCACUGAUAUGGAAGCCCCUACAUGUGAUGUAGAGACUUCGGUUGAACUAGCAACUGAACGAUGCAGGUUAGGCAAAAACUCGUGCAAAUCAUUAUGCUAUGUAGAAGAGAUAUUGUUGUUAGACAACGAUAAACCUGUGGCAUAGAAAGGCGCAAUGAAGGACCCUCAUUCCGGGAUUCGACUAAACGCAAAGAAAUUUGAGGUAGUAUCCAUGAGCCUCGAAAUAGACCCUCCGAAAAGAGUAAAGCCUAAGGAAUGUAAAUGGAUCUAUAAACCAACACAAAUGAAAAUGUUUAUAUCCAUAAAGUUCGACUUGUUGCAAACUGUUUUCGACAAGUUCAAAGAGUUGACUGCAACGAGAUUGUCUCGCUAUAGCGAUGCUCAAGUCAGUUCGGAUUAUUUUAGCAAUUGUUGCAUAUUUCAAUUAUCAGAAUGAAUGUCAAAACAGUCUCCUUCGUUGCAAUGAAAAUAGCAGUUGCUUGUGCAAGUGUAUUACCUCAACAUCUGAUGAAUCCAAGCCGGUUGUUGGGCUUUAUUUUUACCGGGGUGAUCAACAAUGUAGCACGAGUGUUCGUUUGUCCUCGGAGUUACGAGAAGAAUUGCUUAUCUGCUUGAGAUCCAGACUGACUUGCCAUGGGCAUGUCACCUGUGAGCAAUAAUGUAACAUACCAUCUCUUUCAUCUGUUCGACUGAGAAUCAACUCGAACAAUAGUCGUGAUGAUUUUUUCUUCGAGACAUACAUUACUCGUGAUACAUGACAUCCAAUACAAUAAGCUACGAAAGCUGGGCGCUCUCUCACGCAAUCCACGUCGGCACAGGUACGACAAAACAAAACUCAGCUAGAGAACGGAUUGGGCAAAACGCACAUUCCACGGCGGCACACAUUGAUUGGAGAAAAAAAAUCUUUGUGUGUCAUGGAAGAUAACACCUCGUCCAAGAGGAUUUGCCUUCCCAACGAAGGAAAACCUCACCUCUUCAUCAUCCCUUCCCUCACCGCAGCCACUCCCUCCUAUUCUCCGCCACCUCCCUGCCUCGCCCCUCCCCCUCAUCUCGGGCCUGACGCCUCCGCGCCUCCAGAUCUGAGCUCGUGCGCAGUGGCGGCAGUAGGAAGGUGUGGCGAUGCUCGCCCCGACGGCAAGAGCUAGAGGGUGGGCAGCGGCGCGAGCUGUCGUCCUGAGGAUGCCGCAAGAGGACGAGCACAACCGGGACGACGUCGAUGCGGUCGUCGGCGCCUACCCCGCCGCUGGAGGCCCCAGCACAGGUCGCGCUACCCCCAUCCCACGGCAUCGUCUGCAUCGAUCUGAAGCCCAAACAAGAUGGGGAAAAGGUGAGGAUGGAGAUGCGGGUCAUUUUCUUUGGAUCUCAUUCUGAAGAUUUUGAAGCUUUCUGUCCGUGUCGAGGAUGUCCAAUGCGCCGAUGUCCAAUGCGCACCGGCGCAGGUCUGCCUUCUCCCUGCCCUCCGUCCCCAUGCGUGCAACGGCGACCCGAGGAGCUUGAGCCACAAUGAUGGUCCAUGGAGCCGUUGCCGGAGUCCUUAGCAGAAGAAGCGCGGGUUGUAGAGAUGGCCGACUCCAUCGUGUUCAUGCGUCACCGGCGAGAAGAAGCAGCAGAUGAUUGGCAUGAAGAAGACCCUUGUGUUCCACCAAGGACGUGCCCCGAAAAAGGGGUGUACUGGUUGGAUCAUGCACGAGUACCGCAUCACCGAGCCAGAGUUUAAGUCUACGAGCAACUUGUAGUGGACCAGAAUACUUGCUCAAAGGGAAGGAAGUUUAUGAACAUAUUCUUCGUGUCUACGGAGAAAUUACGUCUGUUAGCACUUGUCUGGUUUUUCAAAUGUCGACAGGUACAAACAGCUAGAAGAAUUUUGAUGCAACUCCAUGCAAAGAUCAGGUCACGUUGUCUUCAAUGGUAUCUAGAUACUCUACAAAUGGUUGCACUGACGAGGCAAUCUCACUAUUUCAGCAUAUGAUGGCAGCUGGGUUUUUUUCCGAAAAAACAGAAAAGAGUUGCCCGGUUAAUUCACGGAAAACCGGGCUAAAACCGUUACAACACGCCCACAAAGAAGGGCACCCCGGCCGACUUGACACCUACAAGACCCGCACACACCGCCGAGGCGAGGACACCGUCGAGGUUGCCUACAAUGGCAGCUGGUUUUCAGAUAGUUGGGUAUGCACCUAAGGCAGGAAUACUGUCUAUCUAUUGGUAAGUACUCCCUUUGUCCCUUAAUAUAAGAACGUUUCUUAAACUAUGUUAGCUUGAAAAACGUUCUUAUAUUAUGGAACGGAGGUAGUAGUUCACAUGUGAAGUUGUACUCAAAAAAGGCAACCUGCAUGAUUCUCAUAAAGUUUUUGAUGAAAUAAAUUCCCCAGAUUUAGUUACUUGGACAGCUAUAAUUGAUGGAUAUGCUCAGCAUGGAAGUGGUCAGGAUUCUUUGGAGAUGUUUGAUUUGAUGAUUAGGCGUGGAAUGAAACCAGAUAAUAUUGUACUAGUGAGUUUUUAACUGCUUGCAGACAUAAUGGUUUAGUUGAAGAAGGCUUUAACUACUUUAAAUCUAUGAGAAACGUGUAUGGGCUUGAGCCUGUGUUACAUCACUACUGUUGUAUGAUUGAUUUACUUGGUCGAUCUGCGAGCUUGUAGAGACAAAAAAUAUCGAGAGUAUGCCUAUCAAGCCCGGCUUGAUGGUAUGGAGCACACUGCUUGCUGCUUGCAGAGCUCAUGAUGAUGCUGUACUUGGAUGAUUUGUAGAAAAUAAGAUACGUGAAGAUAAUUAUGACCCAGGCUCUUUUUCAACUCUGUCGAACAGUCUAGCAAACUCUGGAGACUGGGAGGUAGUAGCGAGAGUCAGAAAAUCGUUAAAGAGCGGCAAGAAAGACUGAAAGAGCCUGGAUUGAGUAUGGUGUAAGAAAUGAAAUGGUCAAAGUGUUUUAUAAAUAAAA
Aegilops tauschii subsp. strangulata is the source of this 4735-nucleotide long non-coding RNA. RefSeq lists it as uncharacterized. The record is from RefSeq and is a predicted model, not a curated record. NCBI's taxonomy places the organism in Eukaryota, Viridiplantae, Streptophyta, Magnoliopsida, Poales, Poaceae.